RNAcentral lists this transfer RNA (68 nucleotides) under Faecalibacterium prausnitzii. It matches the Rfam family "tRNA", at positions 6 to 65 of the family's 71-position model. Rfam says of the family: Transfer RNA (tRNA) molecules are approximately 80 nucleotides in length. Their secondary structure includes four short double-helical elements and three loops (D, anti-codon, and T loops). Further hydrogen bonds mediate the characteristic L-shaped molecular structure. tRNAs have two regions of fundamental functional importance: the anti-codon, which is responsible for specific mRNA codon recognition, and the 3' end, to which the tRNAs corresponding amino acid is attached (by aminoacyl-tRNA synthetases). tRNAs cope with the degeneracy of the genetic code in two manners: having more than one tRNA (with a specific anti-codon) for a particular amino acid; and 'wobble' base-pairing, i.e. permitting non-standard base-pairing at the 3rd anti-codon position. Lineage: Bacteria; Bacillati; Bacillota; Clostridia; Eubacteriales; Oscillospiraceae. The record is from RNAcentral.
GGGAUGUAGCUCAGUGGCUAGAGCAUCUGACUGUUAAUCAGAGUGUCGCCAGUUCAACUCUGGCUAGG